This 3024-nucleotide long non-coding RNA is filed under the name Olea europaea (common olive). RNAcentral describes it as "long non-coding RNA (OEUR_LNC009273)". The record is from RNAcentral. Lineage: Eukaryota; Viridiplantae; Streptophyta; Magnoliopsida; Lamiales; Oleaceae.
CAUCAAUUAUGUUGAGAGGAGAUCUACAGCAUUAAGAGCGCUGAAAUCCCUGUUAGUGAACAGAAAUUGAUCAAGUAGAUUUCCUUUUCUGGAGGGAGAGAGAUCCACACCACUGCAUUCUUAUUCUAACUGAUGGUCCUCGGAGGAGCAUUAAUAUCCUAAUUUUGAAAGUUAUAAUACAAAGUUCAGUUCCUCAACACUUUUUACUUAAUCUUAUAAAAUUAAACUUCAAAUCAGUGACCCAUCAUUAACUCAAAAUCUUCUCUCUUUCCAGAUUGUCCCCAGUCAACCUGCAUUGACACCACAACUUCCAAAUCCACCAGCAAGCAGCCACCCCCUGCCAACGUACCACCAACAAACAUCAUGCUCAAACACCCACAAUCCCCAAGCCAAUAGCCAACUCACUAACAAACCCUUAUUUCCUUCACCACCACCCUUUCACCAAACUAAAAAUGUUAGGGUAAUGACAUACCAAUAUGCCUAAGCAUGCGAGCAAGUCCUUUCUAUGUUAUUUCAUAUUCAGUAUUAUGAGUUUAAAGAUAUAAAAUUAUCUGGAAAACAGAACUCGUCUUCAAAUAAAAGUGGAUACUUGUUCUUGAUAUUAAGCAGUCAGGCGAGUUGGAAUAGAGUAUAUCCUUGCAAACUUAGGCACUCAGAUCCACAAUUUGAACCACAAAAUUUAAAUCAGCUUCCACAGGAUCCAGCAAAAUACAUAUUCAAAAAAGGAACAAAACAAAACAAAACAAAGAAAAGCAAAAAAGGGUACACUUCAUAAAUGAGUCGAUUGUAAAAGCAUAGUUCUGAUUCAAAUGAGAGCUUCAUAACUGAAACUGAUAUCUUUCAUGGUAAUAAAUUAAGAGAACUUACAUAGCAUCAUAUUUUCUUGCAUAAAAAUUCAUUAUUCCCUUAUACAAAUACCCAUCCCACUCAGAGAAACAUAACCCAAAAGAUAAAUCAAUGUUAAUUUUCUUAAUAACACAUUGACUCUAAAAAAAAUGACAACUAAACAGACAAACGAUUGGAGUUACUAACCUUUGCUUUUUUUGCGCUGGAAAUCCACCGUUUUCCCUUGCACCAUCAUUGCAGCCUCUCGAGCCUGAUUACAUACGAGCGCUUAGAAAUAGAUCCUCAUUUGAUAAACCAAAUUCCACCUCAGACCAUCAAAUGUAAAGAAUUGUAAUAUAUAUUCAAGCAGCUCAGGUUAAAUGCCCGGAGAAGAUCAACUUAUGUAAAAUGGAUUCACACAUUUCCUUUGCAGUAUACCUCUUAUUUAUUAAAGCCAUGAGAUUAUACUCCUCGGGCAAAAAAAAUAAAACUAGAAUAAAGUCCUCUUGCAUUGAGUUCUGUCACCCACAACCGUCUGGAUUUCAUCGGCCAAAUUCCAGGCAGUCGGCAACAUGCCACCACCAAUCAUCUAACAGUCCUAAGCUCAGUCACCAUCUUCAUCCACCACCAGUUUCCAGAAGGCCCUCAAAAAUUUCUUACUAUUACAUCUUCUGAACUUAUUUUAUGUUCCUUUCUUAUUCUGUUUUUUAGUGGAUUUCCUGAGGUGAUUUACAUCAGAUUUUGAAGUUCCUUGCAAAAAUGGAGCAUUAAAUUAUUUUGGCUAUGAUUUCUGCUAGAUCUACUUGAGAAUUCAUUGCGAUGGCAGUUCAGAUGGUAGCAUAGUCAGCAGUAGUGCCGAUGGAGGUGGAGUUUUUCCUACAUCAAAUUUAAUUCACCUACAGCCUACAUCGCAGAAAGAACUGCCCUUUUCUAGAUGGUCAGCAGUGCUCUAAACAAGUUGAUUUGUGUGAAGAAGACCCAAAAAAUGCAGCUAGUAAUCACCCUUCCCUUGAAAAGAGCCUCAAAUCUGCCGUAACAAACUUCUGCACUGCUGACAAUCUAAUUCAAUUGAAUGGUAUAUCCAGCUAUAUAACUGAUUCCAAAAGGCACAUGCCUUUUGCUAAACAUGAAUGCAUCUUUUAAAUUGCAAUUAAAUAGGGGCUAUCUAAAUUUCACAGAAACUGAUAAUGGACACAGCUGAACAUCCAAAUUGAAAGAAAAUGUGUGCAGUUAAACAGACUUAGCCCCCAUUUGGCCCCCAAACUCAUUUUCAAUAACAUAUUUCAUUGGAUGGACUCACAUAUUUAUAUAUUUUUAACCAUAAAUUUCAUGAAUUUUUAUCAAAAUCUACUAAAAAUCUAUUUUUAGCAAAACCAAACAGAGGCUUCGUAAUAAGCUGAAGCACAUAAAACCCUCCUACAAUGGCAGGGUGGUGUCCCACAGUAUAGACACUUGCACCUUAUGAAACACCACAUGGCAUGUCCCAUUUUCUAAAUGCAACAUAUAAUUAUCGACACGUGAAGGACACUUCCCCAGCACACCCUAGAUCUUGGGUUGUCUAAUUUCAUAUACAAAAGGCACGUCUUCAACAUGUCAAGCCCAAUUUUGUAAAUUUUGGAACAUAAAAUUAGGAAAAAAAAUUAAUUAUAUCAAACUAUUUGUAUAAAAUAAUCGACACGGUGUGUUUGAUUCUUCUAAGAACUUUGAGUUUGACGCAUUACCCAAAAGAAAAUCUUUGGUGCAGAAGCAGAAUUGAGUUUCAUGAAAUAAGAAUAAAGUUGAACAAACUUGAAAUAUUGUAGAUACAGUUUCAUUAUAAUGAAUUGGUCAAAUAAAAAGUGUAUAAAACAGAUAUAAGCAAAAAAUCCUUGUCCUAUUUUUGAUGCAAUUGUCCAACAUCAAUGUUCGUGACAGAUCUUCAUUGUGGAACUUCUAUAUCUACCAUAAGCAAUUUUUUAUAUUGAAUAAUUUUAUUUUGUUUCAAAUAGUACAGCAAAUAGUCACUCGUAUUCAAAAGAUUUUACCUCCAAAAUUCAAAAUCAAACCUUAAAAGAGUAUUUAUGUAAUCGAAAAUGAAAUUAUAAGAUUCAUAAAUGUAUAGUUUUAAUUGAUGUGCCUUCAUGUGUCUGCGUCCUGCCUCCCUACAGAAUUGUGUCAGUGUUCUGAGUCCUGUCUUGUUGAAAUAUAUAAUAACUAGAU